CAAAGGGGAUCGGGGAUAAAACCGAGGAAGGUAGGACAGGGCUUAACCGGGGCACGUUGCUGAACAGUUGGCAAUUUUUGCACUUCUUAACAAACUCGACGGCGUCUUGAUGAAUUGUUGGCCAGUAGUAGCCUUGCCGGAUGAUUUUAUAUGCCAGGCCUUUCGCUGACAUGUGAUCUCCACAGAUCCCUUCGUGAACUUCUCUCAG
This 208-nucleotide long non-coding RNA is filed under the name Daucus carota (carrot). Its description in RNAcentral is "long non-coding RNA (DCAR_LNC007243)". The record is from RNAcentral. Lineage: Eukaryota; Viridiplantae; Streptophyta; Magnoliopsida; Apiales; Apiaceae.